GCUGGCGGCAGGCCUAACACAUGCAAGUCGAGCGGUAACAUUUCUAGCUUGCUAGAAGAUGACGAGCGGCGGACGGUGAGUAACGCGUAGAAAUCUACCUUAGUAGUGGGGGAUAGCCCAGAGAAAUUUGGAUUAAUACCGCAUACGCCCUACGGGGAAAGCGGGGGAUCUUCGGACCUCGUGCUAUUAGAUGAGUCUGCGUCGGAUUAGCUUGUUGGUGAGGUAAAUGGCUCACCAAGGCGACGAUCCGUAGCUGGUCUGAGAGGAUGACCAGCCACACUGGAACUGAGACACGGUCCAGACUCCUACGGGAGGCAGCAGUGGGGAAUAUUGCACAAUGGGCGCAAGCCUGAUGCAGCCAGUGCCGCGUGUGUGAAGAAGGCCUUAGGGUUGUAAAGCACUUUCAGCAGUGAGGAAAGGGUGUCGUUAAUAGUCGCCAUCCUGUGACGUUAACUGCAGAAGAAGGACCGGCUAACUCCGUG
This 482-nucleotide ribosomal RNA is filed under the name uncultured bacterium. RNAcentral describes it as "bacterial SSU rRNA". It matches the Rfam family "Bacterial small subunit ribosomal RNA", at positions 35 to 507 of the family's 1533-position model. The record is from RNAcentral.